Long non-coding RNA from Dreissena polymorpha, 4722 nucleotides. RefSeq lists it as uncharacterized. The transcript is spliced from 2 exons. NCBI's taxonomy places the organism in Eukaryota, Metazoa, Mollusca, Bivalvia, Myida, Dreissenidae. The record is from RefSeq and is a predicted model, not a curated record.
AAAAAACUGGUUAUUAGAUUGGCGAAUGCGGGCGGGCUGGCUGGCGGGCUGGCUGGCUGGCUGGCGGAAUAAGCUUGUCCGGGCCAUAACUAUGUCGUUCAUUGUCAGAUUUUAAAAUCAUUUGGCACAUUUGUUCACCAUCAUUGGACGGUGUGUCGCGCGAAAUAAUUACGUCGAUAUCUCCAAGGUCAAGGUCACACUUUGAGUUCAAAGGUCAAAAAUGGCCAUAAAUGAGCUUGUCCUGGCCAUAACUAUGUCAUUCAUUGUGAGAUUUUAAAAUCAUUUGGCACAUUUGUUCACCAUCAUGGGACGGUGUGUCCCACGAAAGAAUCACGUCAAUAUCUCCAAUGUCAAGGUCGCCACGACUAAAAAUAGAUUUAAAAAAAAAAAAAAAACUUACAAAGGGGGUUCAUUUUUUUUGGUCAUUUCAAAAGUUCAGUUUGAGUUUUCUCCCUUUAUCAGAUUUUUUUUUCACAAUGAAAACCUGGUUUUGUGACAAUUUUGUCCCUUGUCUGACAAUUGUUUUCCUUGUUUUGUUUCAAAUAGGCAUGAUAUGGUUACUAUUAAAUCAACUUCAUAUGUUCUUCCCUUGUGAUAAGUAUUUUUUAUAUCUAUUUCUUAAUAUUUUUCAGUAGUAAUAAUGUCUAAGAUAGAAUGAAUAUCUGUUCUUUUAAAGGUUGUAACUGAUGCUCUAUUUCUUUUGGACAUGACAUGUUACUGUCUCGUUUGUACAGAGAUUCAAUUAAAUACUACAUUUUAUUAUGUGUGAUUCUAUUUUUGUGUUCCAAAUAGGCAGUCUGACAUAUUAGGUAUAUUGAAAACUCUUACAUAUAACAUUUGUAAGUAUCUGUUAUUAAUGACAGUUAAAUGAAACAAUGGUUGUAUAGUUGUGUAUAUUACAAAGUAUAAUUAUUGUUAUAUUUCGAAAUUAGAAUUAUGUUUAUAUUUUAAUUUUCAUACACUUUCAACUAUAAUUUGUAAUAGUGCCGUUGCUACUUAAAUUUUAUGUGGUUUGGAUGCUCACUGUUAUAUUCUAUGCUCCUUCAAAAUACAAUUAAGGUUUCACCUUAACGGUUAUAACGCGAGUGAAAAGCAUCCAUAUGUAGCAAUAUACACUGUAAACAUGUGAUUUAAAACAAGUUUUGUUCAAUUAUCUGUAAAGUUCAUUCAUAACUAUUUUAUAACAUGUCUGCUAAAUCCACUUACUAUAUUCAAGCAUUUUGCAUUAUUGUUUUUGUUUAACACUAGAAACUGUAAAGUUUAUGUGUAAUAAAAUUAUGUUCUGUUCUGUAACGAUUGUAUGCUGAUGUAGUUGUUGCAUUAACAUUAAGUAGACAUAAAAAUUCGGUAUUCUAUAUACUACUAACAUUUUAUUGUGAUUCAAGUUGUAUUAAGUUUUGUUCUCUAAACAGAUAUUGAAUUAUUUUACUGAUACAACAACAUACGGUAUUAAAGCAGUUCCAUAUAUAGCUAGAUACACUGUUAUCAUGUUUGUCUAAAAUAUCUGUAAAGUCUAUCCAUAACCAAAUUAUGAUAUUUCUGUUAAAUAAAAAACGACAAACUAUAUGUAUUCAUGUAUUUUGUAUAAUCGCUUUGUUUAACACUAGAAACUGUAAAGUUUAUGUGUAAUAAAAUUAUGUUCUGUAUAUUACAUGAUAAUCUAUCAAUGUUGUUUUGUGAACACAACCUCUGGUUCUAUGGAAAAAAAAACACAAACCUUGAGCACUUAAUUUGUCGGUAUGUGUGCAUUUGUGUGUAUGGGUGUGCGAUAAAUUGCAAGUGUUUCCUGUUCGCGUGUUUUCGUUUUGUGUGAAUUAUGUUAAGCAAAUUAAUUUAACAAAAAAGUUUAUUUGACUUUAUUAGAUGAUAGUAUUGAGUGUCCUACCAAGAAAAAUUGGUGCACGCUAUUAAGGGAUCUACUAAGUAAUUUGGGAUUUUAUGAUGCUUGGUUUUUUCAAGAUGUUGGAAAUGAAAAUAUGUUUGUAUCAGUCGUAAGACAAAGAUAGAGCGACAUGUUUGUACAGAAUUGGAAUGAGCGACUUCAUACUUCUACUAGGGCAAAUUUUUAUAAACAUAUCUCCGUUUUUCAAUUUCAACCGUACCUGAAUAUAUGCAAUGUCAACAAGUUUCGAGUAAAUUUAUCAAAAUUACGUAUGUCAUCACAUAGAUUAAAUAUCGAGUCAGGCAGAUGGGCUAGACCUACACCAAUUCCAUUAGAUCAAAGAAAGUGUACUGUUUGUAAUAAACUCGAAAAAUAGUUUCAUUUUAUUCUUGAAUGUACAAUAUAUACUGAACUGAGAUCAAAAUAUAUUCCAUUGUAUUACAGACAACGACCAAACAUGUACAAAUUUAUCGAGCUAAUAGAGCUAAUAACAUCAAAUAAUGAACAAUUAAUAAAAAAAUUAAGCUGUUAUAUUUAUCACUCUUUUAAUGUUCGAACGCAUAAUACAUGUGUCAUCAAUUUGAUUUAUUCUGAAAUGUUUUGUGCGGUAUAUAUCUUGUUGUAACUUUAAUUGCAUUUAUUAUGUACUGCAUAUUAAUUGUUGGGAUAGUACCGCAUAUGUAACGUGUUUUUAUUCACGUGUUUUUUAAUCUGUCUUUGUGUUUUAACGGUCGCCUUUAAUGGACUGUCAAAACUGUAUUUGAAUGUAUUUAAUCAAUUGCCAUUAUUAUCUUUUAAUGAAGGUUAUAUUAUAGUAUCGUGUCUGUUCCUAGAUGUAUUCUACGACAAUAUGGCUGCAUUUUUAGAACUGUUAUGCACUGAUUUACAACUAUUAUGUCUGUCGGUCGGUCGGUCCGUAUACCAGGUGGUUUCCGGAUGAUAACUCAAUAACGCUUGGGCCUAGGAUCAUGAAACUUCAUAGGAACAUUGAUCAUGACUCGCAGAUGACCCCUAUUGAUUUUCAGAUCACUAGGUCAAAGGUCAAGGUCAUGGUGACCCGAAAUAGUAAAAUGGUUUCCGGAUAUCUCAAGAACGCUUAUGCCUAGGAUCAUGAAACUUCAUAGGUACAUUGAUCAUGACUCGCAGAUGACCCCUAUUGAUUUUCAGGUCACUAGGUCAAAGGUCAAGGUCACGGUGACCCGAAAUAGUAACAUGGUUUCCGGAUGAUAACUGAAGAACGCUUAUGCCUAGGAUCAUGAAACUUGAUAGGUAGAUUGAUCAGGACUCGCAGAUGACCCCUAUUGAUUUUCAGGGCACAAGGUCAAAGGUCACUGUGACAUAAAACAUAUUCACACAAUGGCUGUCACUACAACGUAGAGCCCAUAUGGGGGGCAUGCAUGUUUUACAAACAGCCCUUUUUAAUGAAACAUGUAUGAAUUGUUGCAAUGAAACGUUUUUUUUUCUUUUUGUAAAUUCAUGUAUUAUUUAUGUUGUAAACACUGUAUGCUUACUUAGUCCACUUGGGCUUUUGGCCUUCUGGGUGUGUUGUUUAAUAAACAAUAAACAAUAUGUAAGACUUAUCAAACGUACUGAUAAAUACUAUUGUUUAUAUAGCAUUCAACAUGACUUUUGGACCAUGUAUAUGUUAAUUUCUUAGGUGACCUGUAUAGGGUUUAUACAAUGAUAUUGAAUAUAAAUUAAUAUCAAACGUUGUCUUUUCAGUGCAUUUUGUUGUGUUUGUUUAUUUAGAUAAUUGAACUGAUUUAUAACAUCCAUUUAACAAAGUUCAUUGUUUCCAGAGCCUUUGGGUUGCCUAUAUUUCCGUUUCGUAUAGGUAGACUGUAAGGGCUGACGUUUAUGCUAUUAUUACAUGCAUGUGUUUUAAUUGACUUUUAUUUUAGAAGAUCUGUCAACAAGUUUUUAACAAGCCUGUUACUAUAACAAACUGUUCUACUACCCUUAAACAUAUGAUGUAUAUAUAAAUGUACUAGUAACAUACGAAUAUUCAUAAUAAAACCGACUAUGUUAAUUCUGAUUAGUACAAAGUGUUUUUAUUAGUACAUCUUGCUUAUGGAGACCUAAUAAAUGUAAAUUACAGUAUAUUUAUGCCCCCCUUCGAAGAAGAGGGGGUAUAUUGCUUUGCUCAUGUCGGUCUGUCGGUCGGUCCGUCCACCAGGUGGUUGUCAGACGAUAACUCAAGAACGCUUGGGCCUAGGAUCAUGAAACUUCAUGGGUAGAUUGAUCAUGACUUGCAGAUGACCCCUAUUGAUUUUGAGGUCACUAGGUCAAAGGUCAAGGUCACGGUGACCCGAAAUAGUAAAAUGAUUUUCGGAUGAUAACUCAAGUACGCUUUUGCCUAGGAUCAUGACACUUCAUAGGUACAUUGAUCGUGACUCGCAGAUGACCCCUAUUGAUUUUUAGGUCACUAUGUCAAAGGUCAAGGUCACGGUGACAAAAAUCGUAUACACACAAUGGCUGCCACUACAACGGACAGCCCAUAUGGGGGGCAUGCAUGUUUUACAAACAGCCCUUGUUUGUAUAUUGCAUUAAAUUGAGUUUAUUAGCCUCAUACACUCUGACGCACUUAGGAUAUAUUUAAUUACAUGUAUACUUUCGAUAAUUAUUUAUGUUCUAGUGUAAUGUAUAAUAACUCAUAAUGUAUAAUAAUUCAUGUAGGCACCGUUGUAACCAAACGAUUUUAUUUCUUUGCAUAACUUUAUUUUGUAUAAUCAUAAACUGUGUAUUGUGGAAACACUGUAUCAUGUAUGCUUGAUUUGUCCACUUGGGCUUUUGGCUUUCUGGAUGGAUUGUUUAAUAAACUAUGUUCUAAAAAAUGCAAA